This 2661-nucleotide long non-coding RNA is filed under the name Canis lupus familiaris (dog). RNAcentral describes it as "lncRNA (ENSCAFG00845017730.1)". Lineage: Eukaryota; Metazoa; Chordata; Mammalia; Carnivora; Canidae. The record is from RNAcentral.
GAGAACAUAAUACAUAUAGGAAAUAAAGCGUAACAAGGCUGAAGCAGGUGUGUCAGCAGCAGGAGGAGGCCCAAUCGCCCUGAGGCCACGAGGUGCUCACGUGAGGUUCUUCUUCGUACCACCUUUCUGCAUAUCUGACAGCUAUUUCUCCCCCUCAGAACUGUACUGCCCAGGCCGACCCACUUUGCCCACCUUGUUGCAGCAUCGUGGUGAAUGACACAAAUAUUUUUCUGUCUGUGUGUCAUUGUUUCCCAACUAUCUUGACUCGUGGCCACUGAGAAUUCUGUUUCCCAUAAAAAUUAACACUUGAUUUUCCCUAAAACCUCCUCUUUCCUCCACCUGUUUGUGAGGUUGGCAGUGGUUGCUUCUGUGGGGCUUGGGGCUCUCCCCAUGUCCAAAUCAGACACCUCAGCAGCCUUCAGGUGGCCAGUCUGGGAAACUCUGACCGAAGUAGGAAAGGAAUCCAACCUCACAGUGUGGUGGACACAGAACAGGCCAAGAUGAUGGACCAAGCUGUUUCCUUUGCAUUCUUGAUGUAACCUGCUCGAUUCCAGGACUCAGAGACCCGGCCUGUCCACCAGAGGCCUCUCCCUCCGUGUUGUUGAGAAAUCACAAGGAGCACUUCUCUGCAAAGCAAACCUUUUCUCCUGGGCUCGAGUAAGAAAGGGACCCGGACAAUUCAGCCCAUCCACACACAAUCUUUCCUGUGACCCCAGCACUGAGCCUGUGUCACAUCUGAACCCUGGGAGUCACAAAGGAUCCUUCUGGGAAAGCCAAAGUUCCAGCAGGGCUGGCCACGAGAGCAGAGAGGGGAAGCAGUGGAGGGAAGGGGCCCAUGGGAUGUGGGCCCCAGCCAGGGCUAGCGUGUCUGUCCUCCGUCUGCCUCCCGCUCCUCUGCCCACUGGCCGGUGGCCACGCUGUCCUGCCUACCCUGCCCCACAGCCAUCUUCCUCAAGGGUAGUGCUCAGAAUGCCAUGGAAGGCAGGGCCUUGCUGGUUUGGGAGCUCAGACCUGUCGAUGCCUUGAAGGCACGGAUCCAAGGUGACCCCAGGUGACUCGUGGUCCCCAACUCAGAUCCAGGAUGUAGCCUGCUCAGGACAAAGCAGGGGAUGGCUGCAGAGCUCCCAGACUUGGAGCACACCUGCGGGGAGGGCGCCGGGGGUUCCCGGGUCUGGCGGAGCCAGGUCGUCCAGUCCGCAGGUGACGUCGACGUGCAGACACAGCCUCUGCACAGGGCCCGGGGAGGAGCUCAGCUCAGGGUUCAGGAGCAGGUUUAUCCUCCGCCCCUGUGCACGCAGGCAUGUGCCCGGACAAAGCUUUCUUAAUAGCAAAAGACUGAAGACACCUUGCAUUUGCGUCGGAAGGGCACAAUUUGCAGACUCGCAGGAAGGUGCACCGCAGGACUCGUAUCCGUCCCCUGGCGCUGCCGCAGCAGGUCACCACACCACAGCAGCGGCCAAUAGCGCCGUAGACAGUCUCAGGCUCUGUAGGUCAGAGGGCUGGUGGGCUCAGCUGGGUCGUCUGCUGAAAUUGAGGGGUCACCAGCACGGCUCCUAUGGGGGCUCCGGGAAGAAGGCACCACCCGCUUGUGCAGGCUGUGCUCAGGAUCCGGGUCCUUGCUGGCCGUGGUCGGAGGGUGUCCCCAGCACUUCUGGCUCGGGCCUCUGCCUCCACCUUCAAAGCCAGCAAAAGCGGUGGGGUCUCUCCCACACUUGGAGUCUCUUAGUCUCCCCAUCCUGCCUCUGGAGAUGCCCCAGAAGUUCUCUGCUUUUAAAGGUUUAUGUGACUUGGAGCCCCCCUGGAAAUUCAGAAUAUUCUUCGUACCUUAGUGUUUAUGGCCUUAGUGCCAUCUGCAGAUUCCCUUUGCCCUGGUGUGGAAGGGCCCGUGUGAACAGGAUCCAGCCCUCGGGGGUGGGCGGCCUGCCUCCCACGGACGCCGGGCAGCUGUCGCUGGAAUGAGGCACGUCUGAGUGUGCGUGGACGGGUGGGGUGCAAGCUGCAGUUAGGUGUUAGUGCUGACACGGGGCGGCCCAUUUGCCCACGUUCCUGUGCUGCUGGCUGGUCCCUUCAGGAGGGCAGCAGCCUCCCGGGCCGCCUCUGGGAGGCCUUAAGGGGCAGCAGGGAAGGCAUUUUUCUGCACCAGCUUUGCCACUCUUUGGUGUCGUAAGCGGACUGGGAAGCUAUUUUGGGGUCCCCGGCGAGUAACUGCCAGAAAGCCGUUUAAAGUCACCUACAGGUACUUGCCUUUGAAGAGCCGGCAGCUCCGCCGGGCGUGUGCCGGUGGCCAGCAGUGAGGCUGUUGUCAUGGUUCCUUGGAUUACACGUGGCGUUGGCUUCUGGAUGGAUGAGAAGCGCUUACGUGCGUGCUCGGCUGGGGAGGUGUGCUGGAGUGUGUUCUGGGGCCGUGGGAGGCUGUGCUGGGCUUCCUUUUAUUUUUAGGGGUGUCAGCAUGUCGGGGUACAGCACCUACCACUCUUCCAGCAGCACGUGGGCUCUUCUCGGGGAAAGAGCCACAUCUACGGGUGCGUGAGAAAGCCAAGCAUCCCCUGCUCAGCAGCUUCAGGCUGGAAGGCAUCCAGGUGACACGAGGAGAGACGCAGCGCCAGGCACACGGAGUCGGAGUGACUCAUGGCAUGUUGGGGAAAUACAGCUAAAAACAGA